CCAGACUCCUACGGGAGGCAGCAGUGAGGAAUAUUGGUCAAUGGCCGAGAGGCUGAACCAGCCAAGUCGCGUGAGGGAAGACGGCCCUACGGGUUGUAAACCUCUUUUGUCGGGGAGCAAAGCGAGUCACGUGUGCGGUUUGGAGAGUACCCGGAGAAAAAGCAUCGGCUAACUCCGUGCCAGCAGCCGCGGUAAUACGGAGGAUGCGAGCGUUAUCCGGAUUUAUUGGGUUUAAAGGGUGCGUAGGCGGACGCUUAAGUCAGCGGUAAAAUUGCGGGGCUCAACCUCGUCGAGCCGUUGAAACUGGCAGUCUCGAGUUGGAGAGAAGUAUGCGGAAUGCGCGGUGUAGCGGUGAAAUGCAUAGAUAUCGCGCAGAACUCCGAUUGCGAAGGCAGCAUGCCGGCUCCACACUGACGCUGAGGCACGAAAGCGUGGGUAUCGAACAGGAUUAGAUACCCGUGUAUU
RNAcentral lists this ribosomal RNA (465 nucleotides) under uncultured bacterium. Its description in RNAcentral is "bacterial SSU rRNA". It matches the Rfam family "Bacterial small subunit ribosomal RNA", at positions 331 to 794 of the family's 1533-position model. The record is from RNAcentral.